Molecule: long non-coding RNA, 1348 nt
Filed under: Triticum aestivum (bread wheat)
Lineage: Eukaryota; Viridiplantae; Streptophyta; Magnoliopsida; Poales; Poaceae
Description: long non-coding RNA (TAES_LNC005707)
Source: RNAcentral
CCUGUCUGCUAAAUUAUUAACUCGGCUCUGUUCAAUGUCAUUGCGAAUGCAGGUGGGGCAGUGUCGUAUAAACUACCCAGGAAGCUGGAUAUAUCUUGGAGAGAAACUAGCAGAUAUCAUAAUGUGAAGUCAAUACUUGCGCCAUUUGGUGGAUUAUGUGUGCUGACUGCCUUAACUUCUUUUAGAGAUACUUCAUGCUGACUAAUAGGUGUAUAGGUUUGUUCUUAGAUCUAACUAAGCCUCCUUUUGAUAUUUCGGAACACAAGCAUGUCCAAGUUUUGGGGUAGAAAAUUUUGACAGCAUAUACUGUAUGUAGAAGAUAGUCACAUGCCAGAGUUAGCUGAUACAGUACAUCAUACACAGUUGUGUAUCUUCCUCGAUGACAGAAUCUCACUGACUGUAAGGUUCAGUGCAAGUAUAAUGUUGCCUAUAUGUAUAGAAGAAUCCGUUGAGACCCACAAAGAGAAACAGCCAUUUUGUGCUAUGUGUGAUAUUUGCAUAAUAAUGUAAUACUUUGCCUCGACUUCUCACAUAGGCUCCAACGCACGUCGCACGGGUCGAUUCCUCGGGGCUUGGAGCAAGAACCUUUUGUAAAAGCUUCAGCUUCACAUGGCUUCAAGGCCAUUCUUCAUUUUGACCCGGCAAUGAGACACUUCCUACUAUCACCGGAAGAGAGACAUUCGGACACUUUGAGGGAGAUGCUAGCACAAGAUUUUACCGUACAAAUGCAAGAAGGCGGAAGAACUUCAUCCAUGGAUUGAGGCGUCAUAAUGGUUGGUGACAUCGCACAACGGUGAUGGUGAGAUCAAGGAAGAAGCAGCGUCCUUGUAUUAAUAACCUUCAUCUAGGGAGAUUUUCCACAUCCACAGAGAUCAAGAAAGAAGCAGCGUCCUUGUAUUAAUAACCUUCACCUAGGGAGAUUUUCCCCCAUCCACACAAAUGCAAGAAGGCGGAAGUACUUCAUCCAUGGACUGUCGAUUGUGGCAUGAAAAUGGUCGAUGACAUUGCACAAGGAAAAGGGAACCAUGAAAGGAAUCAUGGGGAGGGUUAUCUCUCACUGGACUAAUUUCAAUUGGAAGGUUCUAAACAUCAUGGGUAUCCUUGAUGGCAUUGACAACCUUUUAACGAAUUCUUGCGGCAUAAGCAAUUACCCUCUCAUAAGGCAUUGGGUUAGAUGGCUUCAUUGUGGAGUUCCUUAAAUCUUGUAAGGACAUCAUCAAAGUUGUAAUGAUGCACAUCAUUAACCAUUUCUCAGACCUCCAUGUGGUUCAUUUCUAGUGGUUUACUACCUGAGCGGCCUCAGAAUCUUCCACCUAGCAAAGUCUACUUCAUGCUCUAUGGCCUCAAC